RNAcentral lists this ribosomal RNA (1244 nucleotides) under fungal sp. PDB99. RNAcentral describes it as "bacterial SSU rRNA". It matches the Rfam family "Eukaryotic small subunit ribosomal RNA", at positions 1 to 1203 of the family's 1831-position model. The record is from RNAcentral. Lineage: Eukaryota; Fungi.
GAAGAAGAGAGCUGUAUAGACGUGUGGAGGAGGAUGAGUACAUAAUAGGACGUAUCACGCAAGGAGGCGAGCCCGCCGUUUUUUUUGUAGUCAAUAGGGCUGUCUCAAAGAUUAAGCCAUGCAUGUCUAAGUAUAAGCACUCAUACUGUGAAACUGCGAAUGGCUCAUUAAAUCAGUUAUCGUUUAUUUGAUAGUACCUUACUACUUGGAUACCCGUGGUAAUUCUAGAGCUAAUACAUGCUAAAAACCCCAACUUCGGAAGGGGUGUGUUUAUUAGAUAAAAAACCAAUGCCCUUCGGGGCUGCUUGGUGAUUCAUGAUAACCAAACGAAUCGCAUGGCCUUGAGCCGGCGAUGGUUCAUUCAAAUUUCUGCCCUAUCAACUUUCGAUGGUAGGAUCUGGGCCUACCAUGGUAUCAACGGGUAACGGGGAAUUAGGGUUCGAUUCCGGAGAGGGAGCCUGAGAAACGGCUACCACAUCCAAGGAAGGCAGCAGGCGCGCAAAUUACCCAAUCCCGACGCGGGGAGGUAGUGACAAUAAAUACUGAUACAGGGCUCUUUAGGGUCUUGUAAUUGGAAUGAGUACAAUUUAAACCCCUUAACGAGGAACAAUUGGAGGGCAAGUCUGGUGCCAGCAGCCGCGGUAAUUCCAGCUCCAAUAGCGUAUAUUAAAGUUGUUGCAGUUAAAAAGCUCGUAGUUGAACCUUGGGCCAGGCUAGCCGGUCCGCCUUACCGCGUGCACUGGUUUGGCCGGGCCCUUUCCUCUGGCAAACCGCAUGCCCUUCACUGGGCGUGUCGGGGAACCAGGACUUUUACUUUGAAAAAAUUAGAGUGUUCAAAGCAGGCCUUUGCUCGGAUACAUUAGCAUGGAAUAAUAGAAUAGGACGCGUGGUUCUAUUUUGUUGGUUUCUAGAACCGCCGUAAUGAUUAAUAGGGACAGUCGGGGGCAUCAGUAUUCAGACGCGAGAGGUGAAAUUCUUAGACCGUCUGAAGACUAACUACUGCGAAAGCAUUUGCCAAGGAUGUUUUCAUUAAUCAGUGAACGAAAGUUGGGGGAUCGAAGACGAUCAGAUACCGUCGUAGUCUCAACCGUAAACUAUGCCGACUAGGGAUCGGGCGACGUUCCAAUUAUGACUCGCCCGGCACCUUACGAGAAAUCAAAGUUUUUGGGUUCUGGGGGGAGUAUGGUCGCAAGGCUGAAACUUAAGGAAAUUUGACGGAAGAAACCAGGCUUUUUGACUUCCAA